GACGAACGCUGGCGGCGUGCUUAACACAUGCAAGUCGAACGAUGAACCCGGAGCUUGCUCUGGGGGAUUAGUGGCUAACUUGUGAUUAACACGUGAGUAACCUGCCCUGGACUCUGGGAUAAGCGUUGGAAACGACGUCUAAUACCGGAUAGGACCUUGGAUCGCAUGAUCUGGGGUGGAAAGUUUUUUCGGUCUGGGAUGGACUCGCGGCCUAUCAGCUUGUUGGUGAGGUAAUGGCUCACCAAGGCGUCGACGGGUAGCCGGCCUGAGAGGGUGACCGGCCACACUGGGACUGAGACACGGCCCAGACUCCUACGGGAGGCAGCAGUGGGGAAUAUUGCACAAUGGGCGAAAGCCUGAUGCAGCAACGCCGCGUGCGGGAUGACGGCCUUCGGGUUGUAAACCGCUUUUAGUAGGGAAGAAGGGCUUCGGCUUGACGGUACCUGCAGAAAAAGGACCGGCUAACUACGUG
This 472-nucleotide ribosomal RNA is filed under the name uncultured bacterium. RNAcentral's name for it is "partial 16S ribosomal RNA". It matches the Rfam family "Bacterial small subunit ribosomal RNA", at positions 28 to 507 of the family's 1533-position model. The record is from RNAcentral.